UGAACGCUGGCGGCGUGCUUAACACAUGCAAGUCGAACGAACCUUCGGGUUAGUGGCGGACGGGUGAGUAACGCGUGAGAAUCUGCCCUCAGGAGGGGGAUAACAGCUGGAAACGGCUGCUAAUACCCCAUAUGCCGCGAGGUGAAAUGAAUUUCGCCUGAGGAUGAGCUCGCGUCUGAUUAGCUAGUUGGUGUAGGUAAUGGCUCACCAAGGCAUCGAUCAGUAGCUGGUCUGAGAGGAUGAUCAGCCACACUGGGACUGAGACACGGCCCAGACUCCUACGGGAGGCAGCAGUGGGGAAUUUUCCGCAAUGGGCGAAAGCCUGACGGAGCAACGCCGCGUGAGGGAUGAAGGCCUCUGGGCUGUAAACCUCUUUUAUCAAGGAAGAAGAUCUGACGGUACUUGAUGAAUAAGCC
This 416-nucleotide ribosomal RNA is filed under the name uncultured bacterium. RNAcentral describes it as "bacterial SSU rRNA". It matches the Rfam family "Bacterial small subunit ribosomal RNA", at positions 30 to 492 of the family's 1533-position model. The record is from RNAcentral.